Molecule: ribosomal RNA, 254 nt
Filed under: uncultured bacterium
Lineage: Bacteria
Description: partial 16S ribosomal RNA
Rfam family: Bacterial small subunit ribosomal RNA
Source: RNAcentral
UACGUAGGGUGCAAGCGUUGUCCGGAAUUAUUGGGCUUAAAGAGCUCGUAGGCGGUUCGAUAAGUCGGAUGUGAAAUCUCCACGCUCAACGUGGAGGGGCCAUUCGAUACUGUCGUGACUCGAGUCCGGUAGGGGAGUGUGGAAUUCCCGGUGUAGCGGUGAAAUGCGUAGAUAUCUGGAGGAACACCGGUGGCGAAGGCGGCAUCCUGGACCAACACUGACGCUGAGGAGCGAAAGCCAGGGGAGCAAACGGG